Molecule: ribosomal RNA, 483 nt
Filed under: uncultured bacterium
Lineage: Bacteria
Description: partial 16S ribosomal RNA
Rfam family: Bacterial small subunit ribosomal RNA
Source: RNAcentral
AGUGAACGCUGGCGGCGUGCUUAACACAUGCAAGUCGAACGAGAACGGAUUAUAGCUUGCUAUAAUUGUCAGCUAAGUGGCGCACGGGUGAGUAAUGUAUAGGUAAUAUGCCUCUUACUAAGGGAUAACAAAUGGAAACGUUUGCUAAUACCUUAUACUCCUUAUUAACAGAAGUUAAUAAGGGAAAGAUUAUUGGUAAGAGAUUAGCCUGUAUUGUAUCAGUUAGUUGGUGGGGUAAUGGCUUACCAAAACUAUGACACAUAACUGGUUUGAGAGGAUGAUCAGUCACACUGGAACUGAGACACGGUCCAGACUCCUACGGGAGGCAGCAGUGGGGAAUAUUGCACAAUGGACGGAAGUCUGAUGCAGCAACGCCGCGUGGAGGAUGACACAUUUCGGUGCGUAAACUCCUUUUAUAUGAGAAGAUAAUGACGGUAUUAUAUGAAUAAGCACCGGCUAACUCCGUGCCAGCAGCCGCCGUAA